Molecule: long non-coding RNA, 397 nt
Filed under: Podarcis muralis (Common wall lizard)
Lineage: Eukaryota; Metazoa; Chordata; Lepidosauria; Squamata; Lacertidae
Description: lncRNA (ENSPMRG00000009814.1)
Source: RNAcentral
GUGCCUCCUUGGAGCAUUAUACUGAUUGCAGCAGUCCUCUGUCAUUGUGAUGAUGGCAGGCAUGUGCUUUUGCCAUAGUUAUCUUCUCAGGAAGAGCAAGAAUUGGAAGGAAGCCAUCCCACACCCUCCCAAGACGCUUCUUCUCCCAAACCUUUUCCCGAGACUAGAGUUGCUAAAUGGCUCAGAGGACAGUAGUAGCCAGAGCUCUAGGGAGGAAGUGAACAGCUGUACGUUGGAAAGGUGAGUACAUCUAAAGGAAGGACACACUGCUUGUCCAAGGCAUUCUCAGAAAACUAGCUGGUAUGUUUCCAGGCCAUGUAUACACUAAGGCAGCAAUCCUAUACACAUUUAUCUGCGAGUAAGCGCUGUUUAACUCAGCGGGGUUUCCUCUGAGCAG